Molecule: long non-coding RNA, 2953 nt
Organism: Pyrus x bretschneideri (Chinese white pear)
Lineage: Eukaryota; Viridiplantae; Streptophyta; Magnoliopsida; Rosales; Rosaceae
Exons: 3
Source: RefSeq, a predicted model, not a curated record
GGCAACCUAACUUGGUAUUGAAUUCGUCAUCCAUGAUAUUCAAACCUAAGACCUCUUACUUCUAAGCGAAGAGGAAUACCAUUAGACCUUAAUAUUGAGUGGCACUUUCUUAGAUUUAGAAUAAAGUAAUUAUUGAGGAAAAAAAACGAAAAAGAAUGAAAACAUGAAUUAGACCAACCCACCAACCCAAUACAAAAAGGCCCAACUUUGUACAAAAGAAAAAUCAGAAUAAGAAACCCCCAAAAUGGGGAACAAAAAAAAAAAAUCCCCAACAUUUGUGACUUCUGUCGCCUCGCAGGUUCUAUCUCUGGUCCAUUGAGGUUCAUCAUUCAUCAAUUUUGAUUUCCCAGAGCAAUCAAGAAAUCAAGACUCCCCAUUUCUUCUUAUGAUUUAAUUUCCACUCCCCUACUCUGACUUGAUUGACUUUCCGCUGCAAAAAUUUCUUAGGAAAUAUAGCAUUGUUUGGGCUUCUAAUUCAAAGGGUGAGUUGAAUUGCUUGAGUUUGUCCGAGGGAUUUUUGUUUUAUUUUGGGGUGGAAGCAUCACAACCGCCAUCAAUGAAGAAUCACACUAGGCUCUGGCUUAGAACUUUUGACACAACAGAGGAAGUUGCUUUGGCCUACGACAAGGCAGCUUACAAGCUCAAAGGCGACUUUGCCAGGAGUUAUGGUGUGUUUGGUUAUUGAGAAAUUGUGGGAAGAGAUGGGAAGAUUUGGGAACGCCAUCAUUUUCUACGACAUGAGUGACAAGGCACGGGAGGUGUGGUCGAAGGUAGGGAUUGAUGUGGUGUGGUCGAAGGUAGGAAUCGAGGGUGGCUGAGUGACAGUGGAGAUGAAGGUGGGCAUUUCAAACAUUUAUAAAUAAUCACAUCUUUUUAUUAUUUUUUGUCCAGUGGUUCAAGCUUGACAUCCAUAUCAUCAUACAUAUGGGGUUUGCAUUUGCCAUGUCAUCAUUUAACGGCCAAAUUAACAGAAAAUUUAACGUAGGUCUGACAAUGCAAUGAAUUCGUAAGUCUUUUUCGAUUUAAUAGCAAUAACAAUUACCCUUUCCUUACUAUUGCUUUGGUAAAACGAGUGAAAUUGCUUUUACCUUAAAAAAAAUAUCAGUACACAUGGAAUAUUGAAAAAAAAGAAAGCAAACACAUGCCAUGAUUUUUACGGGUAUGUACAAAGUACAAUCAUAGUGACGGAGAGCGUGAAGUCCAAGUCUCAUACAGUGGCCAUGACCAAGCGGAAGUAACACGACUUUUUCAUUUUAUUUUUUAAAAAUGGAUCUGUUAAUGGCUUUGCCAUGACAGUCCACCAUUCUAGAGGUUGGAAGAGCACAUAGGCAUUUCAACCUUCGAGAGCCAACAUCGUGUGAUUCACCAACGCUAGAAAUCGAAUCAGAACGUGCAAUAUCAAAUAGAGAGAUUAUAUUCACACACUCUAAAUUACUUCUCCCACACCCCUUUAAUUUUGUAAUAUUUUCUACACACCCCUAGCACUUGAUAAAUAAAUAUUAAAAAAUUAAAAGGUUGCGGGAGAAGUAACUUGGGGUGUGUGAAUAUAACACACACUAACUUAGCGAACCGAUGCCCAAUUGACAAUCCUAUGAUUAGGACCGUUUUAGGAAUGAACAUAAGAGAAAGGUCUCUUUGACCUAACUUACUUAGAUCACUUCUUUCUUAGAUUGAAUACAUUCCAUGGAUUCUGUUAUUGAUAAACACAUGUUACACUAUAUAGUGAUUAACAAUAAGUUUUGAUUUUUCAUUAAACAAAUAAGAGUUUACAUCAUAAGUAUUCCAAUAGCUAUUAGAUCAAAUGAGUGGCUUUAAGGGCAUACUUCCAACAUCAUCAACUUACGGAUUCGUUGUAAUGUCAGGCUUUCAAUAAAUAUUAUGCCAAUUUGGCCAUAAAUUAUACGUGUCAAAUGUAGGGCCCAUAUUUUUGCUGAUACGAAUGUCAACUUUAAGUCCCAUGGACAAAAAAUAAUACAAAUUUGUUAUUAUUUAUAAAUAUUUAAAACUAAUAACAAAUAUUAUAAAAUAAGAAAAUAAUUUUUCACUUUGGACCAUACAUCCCCACCUUCGUCAUUACAGUCACCCCACCACCGCCUCAAAUCCUCAUUACUCCUCCCCUUUCCUCACUUUGUUCCCUUCUACCUCCUCCUCCUACUACGAUUUUCUCUCUUUCCAAAACCAGUCCAGUUCCUACAACAAUGGUUGUUCCACCUCUCCACGAACCAAGUUUUUUUAGACAAGUUCUUUGAGCAGCAUCACCAAUAAUUGCCGUCAAUGAAGAAUCACACUAGGCUCUGGCUUAGAACUUUUGACACGAUAGAGGAAGUUGCUUUGGCCUACGACAAGGCAACUUACAAGCUCAAAGGCGACUUUGCCAGGUUAAUUGCUUACACCUUCGCCAUAACAACUUCAUCUUCAGAGGCGGCUUUGGCGAGUACAAGUCAUGCAUUCCUUUGUUGAUGUUGCAAUGAAUGGGGUUACGUUUUUAUUUUUUAUUUUUUAUUUUAUUGUUUUUCCCUUCAAACAAAUUUCAGGAAUUAUGGUGUGUUUGGUUACUGAGAAAUUUUGGGAAGAGAUGGGAAGAUUUGGGAACGCCAUCAUUUUCAGCGAUAUGAGUGACAGGGCGCGGGAGGAGUGGUCAAAGGUAGGAAUUGAGGGUGGCUGAGUGACAGUGAAAACGAAGGUGGGCAUUUCAAACAUUUAUAAAUAAUCACAUCUUUUUAUUAUUUUUUGUCCAGUGGUUCAAGCUUGACAUCCAUAUCAGAAUACAUAAGGAGCUUGCAUUUGCCACGUCAUCAUUUAACAGCCAAAUUAACAGAAAAUUUAACGUAGGUCUGAUAUUGCAAUGAAUUCGUAAGUCUUUUUCGAUUUAAUAGCAAUAGCAAUUACCCUUUCCUUACUAUUGCUUUGGUAAAACUAGUGAAAUUACUUUUACCUUAAAAAAAAAUCAGUA